RNAcentral lists this transfer RNA (72 nucleotides) under Ictidomys tridecemlineatus (thirteen-lined ground squirrel). RNAcentral's name for it is "Spermophilus tridecemlineatus (thirteen-lined ground squirrel) tRNA". It matches the Rfam family "tRNA". From Rfam's summary of the family: Transfer RNA (tRNA) molecules are approximately 80 nucleotides in length. Their secondary structure includes four short double-helical elements and three loops (D, anti-codon, and T loops). The record is from Rfam by way of RNAcentral. Lineage: Eukaryota; Metazoa; Chordata; Mammalia; Rodentia; Sciuridae.
UGAGGUGUAGCUCAGUGGUAGAGCACAUUCCUCCCAUGUAUGAGACACUGGGUUCGAUUCUCAGCACCGUAU